This 4220-nucleotide long non-coding RNA is filed under the name Ananas comosus (pineapple). RNAcentral describes it as "long non-coding RNA (ACOM_LNC027904)". Lineage: Eukaryota; Viridiplantae; Streptophyta; Magnoliopsida; Poales; Bromeliaceae. The record is from RNAcentral.
UAAAGUGAUGCAAUGAACACUAAAGCUAGUGUAAAGUCAAGAUUGAACAUACAAUCCUUUGAGUUAAGGAUUCCGAUCAUGCUUGCUAUGAGUUCCGUGCUCGAGGGCGGUCGCUCCCCCUCGGGCGAUGCGCUCCGGAGUUAUGCAUCACGGGUUGGAGUAAACCCGAAGGACGGUCCUAGCAGGUGAGUUCCUGCGAUGAUGGACUUAAUGUGAAGCAAGUCAAUGUGGCGAUACCCCCGGGUUAGCCUUGAGAUUAAAGAACAAAGAGCAAAGAACAAAGAGCAAAGUAUAAAGAACAAAGAGCAAAUGUAAAGAUAAAGAACGAAAGAAUUUGCAUAAUCUGCAUAUAUUUAAUGUUGAGCUUAUUUCUUGCUAUUUGUUCAGGCAUAUUAGCAUCAUGUUAUAGAUUGGUUACUAUAUCCUACUUAUCCUUUCUAUUAUGCCUGAGUUAGUCCUAGUGGGAAAGUCGGUGAUGUUGAGGCCGAACCCACUGGGAACUUCGUUGUAGUUCUCACCCCACUAUUUCCACAGAGCCGGGACCGAGCGAGCCGGCGAGCGACCGAGGUAAAGGUAUCGCGCCUUAGUCAGAGGCCACCAAAGUUGGGAUACAUUUUGUUAGUAGCUACCCCAUGUUCAUCUUUUGUAUUUGAUGAUUAGUAAUGUAAAGAAAAGAAUGUAAAGCUUAUUUUGAGGUAAAUGUGAUGUAAGAAAGAAGUGAUGAAAUUAUGUAAUGAAAUGCAAAGAAUCCUAAAUGUAAGAGAUGGAUGCAAUGUAUAUGAUCUAAAAUGAAUCAUAUUACUUGUGAAUGUUUAGUUUCCUUUUUCUUUCACUAAUGGCUACUGCUUACCUUCGUGUAAGCCGUUUGUGUAUGUUUCCGCUAGUGCACUUCUUAUUGAAAAUGUACAUGUGAUGAGCCUUGGGCGGAUAGGGAAAACUCUGUCCGUUCGGCGUCUGUUUGACGUGCUCGGGUCGGGCCAAAUUGGCAUCGGCCCCGAGGCGUGACAGAGGUUGUGAGACUUCAUGGGGUUCCAGUGUCGAUCGUGUCGGAUCGCGACCCCAGGUUCACAUCCCACUUUUGGAAGAGUUUGCAAGACGCGCUAGGCACACGGCUCGACUUCAGUACAGCGUUUCAUCCUCAAAGUGAUGGACAGUCGGAGCGAACAAUACAAAUCCUUGAGGAUUUACUUCGAGCGUGUGUGCUAGAUUAUAAAGGAGGAUGGCAUGAUUUCUUGCCUAUGGCGGAGUUCGCCUAUAACAAUAGUUAUCAGGAAAGCAUAGCGAUGGCGCCUUUUGAGGCACUAUAUGGACGUAAGUGUCGUUCUCCUAUCCAUUGGAGCGACGUGGGCGAGAGAACGGCUCUUGGCCCGGAUGUGGUGCGGGAGGCGGAAGAGAAAGUUCGCCUUGCUCGUCAACGGUUGGCGAUGGCGCAAUCUCGGCAAAAGAGUUAUGCCGACAAGCGAAAAAAGGAUUUGGAGUUUGCGGUUGGAGAUCGUGUAUUCUUGAGAGUAUCGCCGAUGCGAGGAGUCAAACGAUUUGGGGUCCGUGGGAAGCUAAGUCCCCGUUAUGUCGGACCGUUUGAGAUAUUAGAGCGUGUGGGUGCGGUGGCGUAUAAGCUCGCACUACCACCGAGACUCGCGGGAGUUCACAAUGUGUUUCAUGUGUCGAAUCUUCGAAAGUAUAUUCGGAACUCGACACAUGUAUUGGAGUACGAACCUGUGGAGCUACGUGAGGAUAUGUCCUACGAGGAGUACCCGGUGUGCAUCCUCGAUAAAGAAGUGAGGAAGUUGUGAAGUCGCAAGAUUCCAUAUGUAAAAGUCCAAUGGAGCAACCACGCUGUGCGAGAAGCCACUUGGGAGCUCGAAGAGUCAAUGCGGAGAGAGUAUCCGCAUCUAUUUGAAUCGACGAGUUAAGGUAUGCGUAAUUUCGCGGACGAAAUUAUUUUAAGGGGUGGAGAAUGUAAUAUACCGAAAAUUCGGAAAAUAAAUAUCGAACUUUAGUCAAAUCGACCGAAGUGCGAGGAUGGUACACUUCAGAAAGUCCGAAGGUGUUAAAAUGAUUAAAAGUGAGUUACGGGAGGUUUUCGAGAGCUAUAGAAUCAAAUCUGCAUUCUGCAGUUUUGAGCUCUCGGGGACCGGUCCCUGGUGGGAGAGACCGGUCCUCGAACGCGUAUGAAGUGAGACAGCCGAGAAAUCGGCUUAGUGCUGAGGAAUUAGCUCUCGGGAACCGGUCCCUGCCUGAGAGACCGGUCCCCGAGAGACCGGUCCCACCAGAGAGAGACCGGUCGCAUUGCGCUCAACAGCUCUGGCUGCGCUGGGAGAGCUCUCGGAGACCGGUCCCUAGUCGGGGAGACCGAUCCCCGAGCCCGAAAUCUGCCCAGUCCAGGCAGUUGAAUAAGAUGAAAGUUGAGGGGUUUAUUAGCAUUUUUGCAACCCAAUGGUUAUGUAUGAGGGACAUGAGGGCUUUUCUCUCAUUCCACUCCCUCUCACACUCUCUCCUCUCUUUCUCUCUCUAGAAUACAAAGAAGGAGAAGAAGAAGACAAAGGAAAAGAAGGAAAGGAGGGUGGAGGAGAAGCUAUUGGAGUGAAGCCACUUCAUCUUCUUCCUCUCUAGUGCAAGUUAGGGAAAGCUUUGAGGUAAGCUUCAACCCUAAUCAUGCUAAAACUCUAAUGUGAGAGCCAAGUGACCUAGGAAUGGUUUUUAAGGAGUUUUUAGAGUAAGUGAAGCUUUUCUUUUGCUUCCUUUGAGAUCAAGACCAUGGGUUUGGUGUUGGAGGUAAAGCUUGAAGGAGAGCUUGACCCCUCUCAUGGUGAAAUCCAAACUAGGGUUUGGAAUGAGCUAGGAAUGGUUUAGAUGAACUCUUUAGAGUAUAUUGAAGCUACUUUUGCUUCUCUAUGAGAUCAAACCCUAGGUUUGAUGAUGCUAUAGAGCUAGGGCACCCAAAUUGGGGCUUUUGCUCAUGAGGGUUUCUAAGUGCAAUUGACCCUCUAGAAACCUAAUUUGGGGUAUUUCCGACGCGUUGGUGCGCUCGGAUUAACGUUACGAAAAGCCGAUGCAAAGUUAUGGCCAAAUAAGCCUAAUUUGGCUUCGUUAUGCCGCAGGUAAAGAACGAAGGGUCUAAAAAUCCCAAGAAAAUCAUCGGAGCACCUUCGAAAGCCUACGAGUUGGGUGGUGCUUCUCAAACUCGUUGAACUUCCCUCUAUGCCUAAUGUGUCAUUCAUUUGAGCAUAUAUAUAUAUAUGUUGUUGCAUGCAUUUUAGGGUAAAGUGAUGAUGAAAAUGUAAUGUUGCAUGAUUGUGAGUUCAACUUGCAUAAUAUGAUGAAUGAGAACCUUGUGAAUGUUAGAACCCUAUAUGUAUGCAUGAGAGAAGAUGUGAGUGCUAAAGUGAGCCAAAAGAACCGAGUGGCACAAUGACAUAGAUCGAGUGGCAUUUGAAAACGUAAAGUAAAGUGACACUAGAGUUAGUAUGAGCCAAAGAACCAAAGUGAUGUAAAGAAUGAUGAAAAUGACAAUGUGUAAAGUUAAAGUAAAGUGGGGCAAUAAGAACGAGAAAUGUAAAGAACAAGAAUGCUAAAGAUGGCAAAAGUAAAGAAAAGUAAAGAACAACGUUUGCUAGAGUGGCAACAUAAAGUGAUGUAAUGAACACUAGAGCUAGUGUAAAGUCAAGAUUGAACUUAUAAAUCCUUUGAGUUAAGGAUAUGAUCAUACUUGCUAUGAGUUCCGUGCUCGAGGGCGGUCGCUCCCCCUCGGGCGAUGCGCUCCGGAGUUAUGCAUCACGGGUUGGAGUAAACCCGAAGGACGGUCCUAGCGGGUGAGUUCCUGCGAUGAUGGACUUAAUGUGCAGCAAGUUAAUGUGGCGAAGCCCCCGGGUUAGCCUUGAGAUUAAAGAAUAAUGAACAAAGAGGAAAGAACAAAGAACAAAGUGUAAAGAUAAAGAACGAAAGAACUUGCAUAAUCUGCAUAUGUUAAUGUUGAGCAUAUUCCUUGCUUUUGUUCAGGCAUAUUAGCAUCAUGUUGUAGAUUGGUUACUAUAUUUCAGCUUAUCCUUUCUAUUAUGCCUGAGUUAGUCCUAGUGGAAAAGUCGGUGAUGUUGAGGCCGAACCUACUGAGAACUUUGUUGUAGUUCUCACCCGACUAUUUCCACAGGGCCGGGACCGAGCGAGCCGGCGAGCGACCGAGGUAAAGGUAUCGCGCCUUAGUCAGAGGCCACCAAAGUUGG